Molecule: long non-coding RNA, 2058 nt
Organism: Bos taurus (domestic cattle)
Lineage: Eukaryota; Metazoa; Chordata; Mammalia; Artiodactyla; Bovidae
Source: Ensembl
CUUCAUUUGUUAUAUUAAUGAAAAGCCACUUUAAAUCAAGUUUCCUGUUGAUAUUUCAUUAUGUAUGCUGUUCUUACACAUCUCUAAAGGAGAUUUACGUUACAGGUAGUAACCACAAAUACCGGCCAUGGACAUGCUGUUAAUUUAAAAUGUAAAGUUUUCUUUUGAGGCGCAGCAGACAUAUAGGGUCUCUCUCUUCGCCAGGGCCGCUCACUUCCCUGUGAAAAUGACCCACAGCUGUCGCCCCAUCCGGAGGCCCAACCUACAGGCAGGGAUCUGACGUUCACACCCAGGUUCACGGAAGACAGAGCUCAGCACGGGGCCAGAGCAUAAUGUGCAGGGACUGGCCCCGCUCCCGACAACAUGGGCAGCCUUGACGGUGGCGCUGGCCUUGCCCUCGGCUGUCGCUGAACGUUUCCAGGUGCCAGCACUGCACCAGGCAGGUCAGCCCUAUGCCACCAGAUGGAGCCCACCCCACCUCGCCAAGAUGUAGAUGGUCCACCCCGACCCCGUAUGGCGGAGGAGAAAGCCGACACGCAGGGCUAAUGGACUGUGGAGUUAAGAUCUGAAGCCAGGCCCGGGGCCCCUGACCACCGUGUCCAACCGAGAGAAGCUCUGCUGGAGACAGGCUUCUAGCCCCUGUGUUGUUGGGGUGUUGCGAGGUAAACCUGGCUUAGUAGCUGAAGAAGACGGCGAUCAGCAUGGUCCCGUGCACGGAGGGUCAGCGCUGGGCACUGACUUUGAGCCGGCAGAGGGUGAGGGAGGCAACAGCUGGGAUGACUGGGGCACAACCAGUGGUCUGGCCACGCUUCCUCUGGUGGCCUUCAGGGCCUUACAAACACCGACAGACGUUACCUCCAGGACCCUCACGAGGACCCUCUGCGUCAAGCUGUCAUCGUCACUCCUGUUUUACAGACUUGGACAGAGCAAGUGGAUUUGGAGCUGAAAGGCGGCAGGGGGGUGACAGGAGGUCUUCCAGGCCACACGGCUUGGGCUCAGGCCCUCGCCUGGCAGCCCGGGACACUCUGGCUCCAGAGGGGGUGGGGACACAGCACCAAUCCCCCCCUACCCCUCACUGCCCACCCCCAGUGGUGGCAUGGGGCAAACACGGUGCCCUGCAGACACUCUUGUAGUGGCCCUGGAUGAAAGAACAGCUCCAAAUAAAAACGGCAGACAAGCUGCAAAAUGGAAUUAUUUCCUGCCGUAUCAGUAAACAGGGAUGUCACACUCAUCAGCGAUUGCAGCCACCAAACAUGGCGAGCUGGUGAGCUGGAGGAAACUCAAGAAGGACAGCACCUGUCAUCGAGUGGCCACCAGCCCACAGGCACUCCCGAGGGUGAGCCCUGAGGAAACUCAGGGCGUGAGCACAAAGGACACUGGCCCCGGAUUGCUGCGGUGCCUGUCAAGGGAACGAUUUCCGUGAGCCCAGACACCUCCCCAUACGUAGAUAAGUGCUGAAUUCCUUAACCUGAGACAUUAAAGAAAACUUCUGACGUUCGGACUACCUGCCCUCUGUUGCAAAAUAUAUAACCUGGCUCUUCCCCUCACCUCCUCAAACCAGUUCUCGCAAUAUUACUUGAGAUGCUGCCUUCUGGGCUUAAGUCCUAAAAACGUUCCACCAAAUCAAACAUAACUCUCAGUUUUUAGGUUCGAGUAUUUUCUGAGUCGACAAAGUGAAUGUUUGCUGGUGCAGACCUCUGACUCCUUUGCCCUGAGACCUUGGUCUGGCUCCCCCACGGCUGGAAGGCACCUAGAGAACAAUGAUGCUCUUCUCUGAGAGGCCCACAGCCUGUCCAGCCUCGUUCUGGGCCCCUGGCCAGCUCCUACCUGUGGUCUCUGACGGCUGAACCCUGGCCCACACCCCCGGGGCUGCCUCCUGUCUUGUCCUGAGACACCGUCCCCAACGCCCCGUCCUGGGAGAGGCUCUCCGGGUCCAGCCAGACUCCUCCUUGACGCCCCCACCCCCAGCCCUAUCUCACUCCACCUUCUUCAGCUCUCUCCUCAGGACACUGUGAGUCCUCCCAAGCCAGGGGCCCUCUUGGUCCCCUGUCCCUCACG